CCUUUGUGGGACAUUUGGCCAAUCCCCAACAACGGGUAUUGUACUUGGCAGAGUGCGGGAGAGUAAUUCUCGACUCGGGGACAAUGUCAGUUGUUGGGCGUUUGGUCUACUGUUUACAGAUGACACUUCACAAACUUCUUCAGUAGUCGGAAGUUCCCUCCACAAGGAUGAAUGAAUAUGUUUUAUGGUUGUAUUUUGAUGUACCAAAGAUGUGAGCAAAUUCAUUUACUUGAUCGCUUUGCCUUGAAUCUGUGUCUGUGGAUUACUUUGUAGUAUGAGUGUAUAUCCAUAGAUGGAUAAUAGAUAUGCGAAGAUUUCAUGCUUCUGUUUGGGAAGUUUUAUAUUGUUGUAUUAGUCCGUUUUAUUAAUCCAGUUGUAGGAAGGUUUAUUUUUAGAAGACUUUGGUUCUCUUUUACUGAAGGCCCAACUUAAAGAUAUAUCACAAAGAAAAUUUGGUUAGUUAUGUGCUUGAGGGAUUUUUGUUGUUAGAUUCAAGGUUUGAAGUUUGAGCAAAUUAUUCUUGGAGGAUUCAAGGCUGUUUUCCUGUUUCUUUUGCAACUGCAUUGGUGGUUGAAUCCAUUAGAUCAAAAAGCUUUGCAUCUGCUAUCAUAGGUAAGGAUGAGGAGAAAUGUAGUCUCUGCCGAACCUAGGUCUGUGAUGCCCCUUUUCUUAAAGCCUUUUGUUCCAAGUCCGGGUUGUUGUGGAAAACAGAUCGAUACAUGGUUUUCUCUGUUGCAACUGCAGUCGUUCCAGAUAUCCAAGCAUCCAAAUUGGUCGCUAUCAUGAUGCAUGUGAACACCAAAUGGUCUAAGUCACUGUUUCCCUUUGUCAAACAUGGAGAGGAGUAUAGAGUAACAGGCAGUCAUCGGAACUUAAGCACGACUGAUGUAACCAUCUUGGGUGCAAUACAGGUGCGUGCAGAGAUUCAACUACCAUCAACAUUUGUGCCGAGAAUUUUUUUUGGAGUUUUUGCGAUAUGGGAAACAGAUCAUGGAUGGAGUUUACAUAGUUGUUGAUUUCACAAGCCUUUAUUUUGGUGAUCCUUGUAAAGUGUAAUAGUGAAAAGAGACCAUCAGGAGUCAUAAUCAGGGAACAUGGACCUAAAGAUUGUGAGAUUAUAUGGAUUGAGAAUGUGGAAGUGGAUGAAACCAGAGAAAACAUAAACUCCUCCAUAAUCAAUUCAAAUGUUGCACACAGUGCAGAUCGUUCAAUAAGCACACUGUUAUGGAAUCUGAAGCGUGAGAAGAGUUCAUUCGUUGAUCUCAAAAUCGUUGUGCAUCGCAGAGCUGGUUCUUUUCUCUUGGCUUUAACUCGAGCUAUGAAGCGUUUCUUUAUGGAAUGUGUUUCUCAGUAUCCUGACGAAGCUGUAAUUGCUGUAGCAACUAGUCAUGAAGAUCCAAUAAGGAUUCUGCAUAACCAUACACUAACAGAUCAAGUUGCCUUCGUCGGCUUGAACAGUUUCAGGGUUCAAGCUAAACCGCAGUCGGUUAUUCAAUUUUUGAUGGAAAAAGAUAUACUGUUGGAGGUAUGAA
Long non-coding RNA from Hibiscus syriacus, 1532 nucleotides. RefSeq lists it as uncharacterized. Lineage: Eukaryota; Viridiplantae; Streptophyta; Magnoliopsida; Malvales; Malvaceae. The record is from RefSeq and is a predicted model, not a curated record. The transcript has 5 exons.